GACGAACGCUGGCGGCGUGCUUAACACAUGCAAGUCGAACGGAAAGGCCCUGCUUUUGUGGGGUGCUCGAGUGGCGAACGGGUGAGUAACACGUGAGUAACCUGCCCUUGACUUUGGGAUAACUUCAGGAAACUGGGGCUAAUACCGGAUAGGAGCUCCUGCUGCAUGGUGGGGGUUGGAAAGUUUCGGCGAUUGGGGAUGGACUCGCGGCUUAUCAGCUUGUUGGUGGGGUAGUGGCUUACCAAGGCUUUGACGGGUAGCCGGCCCGAGAGGGUGACCGGCCACAUUGGGACUGAGAUACGGCCCAGACUCCUACGGGAGGCAGCAGUGGGGAAUAUUGCACAAUGGGCGGAAGCCUGAUGCAGCAACGCCGCGUGCGGGAUGACGGCCUUCGGGUUGUAAACCGCUUUCGCCUGUGACGAAGCGUGAGUGACGGUAAUGGGUAAAGAAGCACCGGCUAACUACGUG
RNAcentral lists this ribosomal RNA (468 nucleotides) under uncultured bacterium. RNAcentral's name for it is "partial 16S ribosomal RNA". It matches the Rfam family "Bacterial small subunit ribosomal RNA", at positions 28 to 507 of the family's 1533-position model. The record is from RNAcentral.